Molecule: ribosomal RNA, 253 nt
Filed under: uncultured bacterium
Lineage: Bacteria
Description: partial 16S ribosomal RNA
Rfam family: Bacterial small subunit ribosomal RNA
Source: RNAcentral
UACAGAGGUCUCGAGCGUUGUUCGGAUUCAUUGGGCGUAAAGGGCGCGUAGGCGGGAUGGCAAGUCGGUCGUGAAAUCCUUCGGCUCAACCGAAGAACGUCGAUCGAUACUGCUGUUCUUGAGGGUUGCAGAGGAGACUGGAAUUCCCGGUGUAGCGGUGAAAUGUGUAGAGAUCGGGAGGAACACCGGUGGCGAAGGCGGGUCUCUGGGCAAUUCCUGACGCUGAGGCGCGAAAGCGUGGGGAGCAAACGGG